AGUGAACGCUGGCGGUAGGCCUAACACAUGCAAGUCGAACGGCAGCACAGGAGAGCUUGCUCUCUGGGUGGCGAGUGGCGGACGGGUGAGGAAUACAUCGGAAUCUACUCUGUCGUGGGGGAUAACGGAGGGAAACUUACGCUAAUACCGCAUACGACCUACGGGUGAAAGCAGGGGACAUUCGGGCCUUGCGCGAUUGAAUGAGCCGGUUCAGGAUUAGCUGGUUGGCGGGGUAAAGGCCCACCAAGGCGACGAUCCGUAGCGGGUAUGAGAGGAUGAUCAGCCACACUGGAACUGAGACACGGUCCAGACUCCUACGGGAGGCAGCAGUGGGGAAUAUUGGACAAUGGGCGCAAGCCUGAUCCAGCCAUACCGCGUGGGUGAAGAAGGCCUUCGGGUUGUAAAGCCCUUUUGUUGGGAAAGAAAUCCAGCUGGCUAAUACCCGGUUGGGAUGACGGUACCCAAAGAAUAAGCACCGGCUAACUUCGUGCCAGCAGCCGCCGUAA
This 506-nucleotide ribosomal RNA is filed under the name uncultured bacterium. Its description in RNAcentral is "partial 16S ribosomal RNA". It matches the Rfam family "Bacterial small subunit ribosomal RNA", at positions 29 to 523 of the family's 1533-position model. The record is from RNAcentral.